Molecule: long non-coding RNA, 241 nt
Filed under: Helianthus annuus (common sunflower)
Lineage: Eukaryota; Viridiplantae; Streptophyta; Magnoliopsida; Asterales; Asteraceae
Description: hypothetical non coding rna
Source: RNAcentral
UAUGUACAAAAUCAAGCCGAACGCCAAGAAGGCCCAUGACGAAUCAAUAACCAGUAGGAAGCUUUUUGAAUGACUGCAAAUGUUAAACAUGCUCUUGGAGGGUUGCCUUGAUGUCACAAUAUUACAUUGGUUUGCCAUGCAUUUUUGAGUCGCCUAAUUCUAGGUGUGCUUUUUUUCAAUCCACAAAAAAUCACUGGAUCACGGGGUAAAACACUUCUUGAAGACGUUAAAAAAACGUAAA